UACGUAGGGUGCGAGCGUUAAUCGGAAUUACUGGGCGUAAAGCGUGUGCAGGCGGUUUGGUAAGACAGGCGUGAAAUCCCCGGGCUUAACCUGGGAACUGCGUUUGUGACUGCCAGGCUAGAGUACGGCAGAGGGGGGUGGAAUUCCACGUGUAGCAGUGAAAUGCGUAGAGAUGUGGAGGAACACCAAUGGCGAAGGCAGCCCCCUGGGUCGAUACUGACGCUCAUGCACGAAAGCGUGGGUAGCAAACAGG
Molecule: ribosomal RNA, 253 nt
Filed under: uncultured bacterium
Lineage: Bacteria
Description: partial 16S ribosomal RNA
Rfam family: Bacterial small subunit ribosomal RNA
Source: RNAcentral